GACGAACGCUGGCGGCGUGCCUAAUACAUGCCAGUAGAACGCUGAAGGAGGAGCUUGCUUCUCCGGAUGAGUUGCGAACGGGUGAGUAACGCGUAGGUAACCUGCCUGGUAGCGGGGGAUGACUAUUGGAAACGAUAGCUAAUACCGCAUAACAGUAGAUGUUGCAUGACAUUUGCUUAAAAGGUGCAAUUGCAUCACUACCAGAUGGACCUGCGUUGUAUUAGCUAGUUGGUGAGGUAACGGCUCACCAAGGCGACGAUACAUAGCCGACCUGAGAGGGUGAUCGGCCACACUGGGACUGAGACACGGCCCAGACUCCUACGGGAGGCAGCAGUAGGGAAUCUUCGGCAAUGGACGGAAGUCUGACCGAGCAACGCCGCGUGAGUGAAGAAGGUUUUCGGAUCGUAAAGCUCUGUUGUAAGAGAAGAACGAGUGUGAGAGUGGAAAGUUCACACUGUGACGGUAUCUUACCAGAAAGGGACGGCUAACUACGUG
This 495-nucleotide ribosomal RNA is filed under the name uncultured bacterium. RNAcentral describes it as "partial 16S ribosomal RNA". It matches the Rfam family "Bacterial small subunit ribosomal RNA", at positions 28 to 507 of the family's 1533-position model. The record is from RNAcentral.